This 277-nucleotide unclassified non-coding RNA is filed under the name Hevea brasiliensis (rubber tree). The record is from RNAcentral. Lineage: Eukaryota; Viridiplantae; Streptophyta; Magnoliopsida; Malpighiales; Euphorbiaceae.
CCAAGAUAUCUCUAGAUAAAUGUACACUACUUUGCUUGCAUUAUAUAUCACUGAAGUUUUGCUUUCCACUUUUAUAGGAAAUCUUUUCGCCCAUUUUCUUGUAGAAAGGUCUGUAGCAGAAACAGCUUCUACAAUGCAACCCUUUAACGGAAAAGCUGCAUGGGAACCAUCUGAAUCUGUCAAAACAAGAAAUCGAUUCAUGAUUUUUGCAUAUUUCUUAACAGGAUUAACCUCAAAGAGAUCCUUUUUCUUCUUUUGCUCUUUUGGCACUUUAUCC